AGAGUUUGAUCCUGGCUCAGAUUGAACGCUGGCGGCAUGCCUUACACAUGCAAGUCGAACGGCAGCACGGGUGCUUGCACCUGGUGGCGAGUGGCGAACGGGUGAGUAAUACAUCGGAACGUACCUUAUCGUGGGGGAUAACGCAGCGAAAGCUGUGCUAAUACCGCAUACGCCCUGAGGGGGAAAGCGGGGGAUCGAAAGACCUCGCGCGAUUAGAGCGGCCGAUGCCUGAUUAGCUUGUUGGUGGGGUAAAAGCCCACCAAGGCGACGAUCAGUAGCUGGUCUGAGAGGACGAUCAGCCACACUGGGACUGAGACACGGCCCAGACUCCUACGGGAGGCAGCAGUGGGGAAUUUUGGACAAUGGGGGAAACCCUGAUCCAGCAAUGCCGCGUGAGUGAAGAAGGCCUUCGGGUUGUAAAGCUCUUUUGUCAGGGAAGAAACACCGGCUCUAACACAGUCCGGGAAUGACGGUACCUGAAGAAUAAGCACCGGCUAACUACGUGCCAGCAGCCGCGGUAAUACGUAGGGUGCGAGCGUUAAUCGGAAUUACUGGGCGUAAAGCGUGCGCAGGCGGUUAUACAAGACAGGCGUGAAAUCCCCGGGCUUAACCUGGGAAUGGCGCCUGUGACUGUAUAGCUAGAGUGUGUCAGAGGGGGGUAGAAUUCCACGUGUAGCAGUGAAAUGCGUAGAUAUGUGGAGGAAUACCAAUGGCGAAGGCAGCCCCCUGGGAUAACACUGACGCUCAUGCACGAAAGCGUGGGGGAGCAAACAGGAUUAGAUACCCUGGUAGUCCACGCCCUAAACGAUGCUGACUAGUUGUUCGGGAUUUACAUCCUGAGUAACGUAGCUAACGCGUGAAGUCAGCCGCCUGGGGAGUACGGUCGCAGAUUAAAACUCAAAGGAAUUGACGGGGACCC
This 919-nucleotide ribosomal RNA is filed under the name uncultured bacterium. RNAcentral describes it as "bacterial SSU rRNA". It matches the Rfam family "Bacterial small subunit ribosomal RNA", at positions 8 to 922 of the family's 1533-position model. The record is from RNAcentral.